AAACAAUGACUCAUGGUCAUGUUGGAAUAGGUGGCUACCUAAGGAAUUGAUUGAAUUUAAUACGUAGCUUCUUGGUCUUAAAAAUGUUAGGCCCCACGUAGUCAAUUCAAGCUUUAAACAAAGCAAAUUUUCCAUUUCUCAUGAACAACCACCAACAGAAUGACAAGCUCCCACAAGAAAACGUUUUCUUCAUUUCAAAACCAAGUCAAGUUCGUUUCAAUUUCAAGUAAAUUCAGUUUAAAUUUCGCGAAAGCAGAUUCAUUCAAAUAAUUCAAGAAACAGGUAUGUUAAGGCUAAGCCCUUCCUUCAUUUUGGCAUGAUCUUGUAAUUACAUGAGUUUGAUAAUGCGACAUAAAGAGAAGUUCAUACUUCCAAAUUUAUAUACAUUAUCUUACUCUCAUAAAUUAUAGUAUUUUUCCACUUCCAAUAAUGAAUUAAAACAAUUUGUGCAGUGCUCCAUUUACUUACUGGAAAAACGCACAUCACUUUUAAAAGAGUGGAAGGAACUUUUUAAAAGACAAUAAAAAUCUCAAAAUUUUAUAGCUAUCCACUCUAUGACUCAUAUAUAAGUAGUUCCUCCAAGAUAUAAUAUUUGUUGGCCCGGUUAUGAUUUAUAUUGUUGUUGUUGUCUAUAAAGUUUUUGGAACAACUUAAAGUUGCUUUCUCACUUAGUCAUAUGAUUUAUAUUGUUAUUGUCGUGUAUAAAGUUUUUGGAACAACUUAAAGUUACUUUCUCACUUAGUCACUAUAAUUAAUAAUUUCCUAAGUCCGCAAGUAUGUAGGUAAAUGUACUUCAACAGCUAUUUUUGUUAUAUACUUGCCCUUGUCUAGAUUCCAACAGACUUUAGUAACAGCUACAACGAUGACAUUCACAUUCACAGGACUUCAGAUUCAUUUGAGUAUUUCCUUCUAUUAGUCAACAGAGCAGAGAAGUUACAUAUAUACAGUAUUAAAAGUAUUUUUAUUACCAUCGAGCUAUAAUCGAUGGGCAGGCUCCUAUUGGGCAACCUCUGAUCAGAUGGUAAGUUAUAUGACGAUCCUAUUGUGGCCGAGCGCAUAUGGGCGAGCCCAGUUGAUCGAGAUACAGAGCCUAGUAUGGUCGAGCGCUUAUGAGCGAGCCUACUAAGGCAGAGCAGAUAUAUAUGUAUACCGAGCCUUAUAGGGUCGGACAACUAUUUUACUUACUAUAUUGAGAGAAUUGAGUCAGUAUUAUCAGAUGAGCAUAUCUUCGAGUUUUCUUUGGCUCCCGGUUGUUCUCAGUUGUUAUAUUAUCAAUUCAAUUUCAGUUUUAGUUUCAGUAUAUUGCCGUACAUACUCGGUACAUUAUUUCGUACGGACGUCCCUUUCUGGGGACGCUGCAUUUUAUGUAUGCAGGGUCAGACAGACAGACGGGUAGACCUCCUCAGUAGGUGUUGCCCGAGAUCAGCUUUAUCAGUAAGCUCCCCUUCUUUCGGAGUUACCGGGUCUAGCAGUGUGGUGUGCAUCUUGUGUAUAUAUGUAGAUAGGUUAUGGGUAGGUCGGGGCCCUGUUCCGAUCAUAGUACAUCUAUUAUUAGAGGCUUGUAGAUAUGUCGUGUCAGUUAAUACCGUAUGUUGGUCUGGUAGGCCCUGUACGUAUAUUUUGUUAGCUUGUCAGUUGUAGUAAAUGUGACGGCCUUGUCGGCCCAGCCUUAUGUUGAUGGUUAGUCAGUAUUAGUCUCUAUUUAGUUUUAUAUUUUACAUCGCACAUUUUCUUGCAAGCCAUGUCCAAAAUUAUGACAUUACUUGUUCAAAGUCUCUGAGUCACAGGUGAUGCGCAAGGAUAGUUGAGGCACUGAGUGCCAGUCUCGCUCCCAGGUUCGGGGCUUGACAAUAAUGGACCGCAAACUCAUGAAGAGAAGUGCUGGUAGUGGAAAAUACGACGCAGAAUGUGAUCACAUAGCUGCAAUGCAGUCCACAAAACCACAAUGCGACGAUGGACUGGAAACUAGGGUUUUGAAGUGCGAUGGGCAUGAAGAGAAUGCGCACCGCAUGUCUGAUUUGCGAUAGAAAUGCGGUCGCAUACUUGACCUAAAAGGGCAUUUUUGUCCGUUUUCUAUCUCGAUUUUUGUCCCUCUAUAAAUAGAUUUAUUGUGAUUUUGUGGGCUCAUCUGGUCUGACUUUGAAGCUACAAUACAAGGCAUUAGUAUUCCUCUCUUUUGGAAACUUUUGGGUCAAGAAUCUUUCACUUUGUAAGCUUUAUUGCAUCAAAUAGUGUCUUCUUUUUGUAUUUUAGCAUGUGUAGCAAACUUUAAAUACCAAGGUUGUGGACCCUAAAUGGGUGUUAUGUUAAUGGGUGUUUUACAUUGAAUAUGUAUAUAAU
RNAcentral lists this long non-coding RNA (2340 nucleotides) under Nicotiana tabacum (common tobacco). Its description in RNAcentral is "long non-coding RNA (NTAB_LNC003831)". The record is from RNAcentral. Lineage: Eukaryota; Viridiplantae; Streptophyta; Magnoliopsida; Solanales; Solanaceae.